This 446-nucleotide ribosomal RNA is filed under the name uncultured bacterium. Its description in RNAcentral is "bacterial SSU rRNA". It matches the Rfam family "Bacterial small subunit ribosomal RNA", at positions 329 to 792 of the family's 1533-position model. The record is from RNAcentral.
UGCCAGACUCCUACGGGAGGCAGCAGUGGGGAAUAUUGCACAAUGGGGGAAACCCUGAUGCAGCGACGCCGCGUGAGUGAAGAAGUAUUUCGGUAUGUAAAGCUCUAUCAGCAGGGAAGAUAAUGACGGUACCUGAGUAAGAAGCCCCGGCUAACUACGUGCCAGCAGCCGCGGUAAUACGUAGGGGGCAAGCGUUAUCCGGAUUUACUGGGUGUAAAGGGAGCGUAGACGGCAUGGCAAGUCUGAAGUGAAAGCCCGGGGCUCAACCGCGGGACUGCUUUGGAAACUGUUAAGCUGGAGUGCAGGAGAGGUAAGUGGAAUUCCUAGUGUAGCGGUGAAAUGCGUAGAUAUUAGGAGGAACACCAGUGGCGAAGGCGGCUUGCUGGGCUUUUACUGACGCUGAGGCUCGAAAGCGUGGGGAGCAAACAGGAUUAGAUACCCGAGUA